AUCAACCUGCUGUGUGCGUGCUGUGCAGCAUACGUUUUGAGCCAACAGUAUCACAACGGGGAUUGUUAUGUGGCAGCAAGGUGAUAGACCUCGGUCAAGACCCCAAUGCCAAGCAAAUCCCCACCUGCGACAGCAGGUUCAAAACUUCGCACACACGGCAUGGCGGGAUUUUG
This 173-nucleotide non-coding RNA is filed under the name Chloroflexota bacterium. RNAcentral's name for it is "Chloroflexi bacterium 6S RNA". It matches the Rfam family "6S / SsrS RNA". From Rfam's summary of the family: E. coli 6S RNA was the first non coding RNA to be sequenced, but its function was unknown until recently. Lineage: Bacteria; Bacillati; Chloroflexota. The record is from RNAcentral.